AGAGUGUUAGUUCAGUUGGGAGAACGCCUGUCUUACAAACAGGAGGUCAACAGUUCGAAUCUGUUACACUCUA
Molecule: non-coding RNA, 73 nt
Organism: Lingula anatina
Lineage: Eukaryota; Metazoa; Brachiopoda; Lingulata; Lingulida; Lingulidae
Source: Rfam